GAUGAACGCUGGCGGAGGGAAGAAUACAGGCAAGUCGAGCGAACGGACGAGAAGCUUGCUUCUCUGAUGUUAGCGGCGGACGGGUGAGUAACACGUGGAUAACCUACCUAUAAGACUGGGAUAACUUCGGGAAACCGGAGCUAAUACCGGAUAAUAUUUUGAACCGCAUGGUUCAAAAGUGAAAGACGGUCUUGCUGUCACUUAUAGAUGGAUCCGCGCUGCAUUAGCUAGUUGGUAAGGUAACGGCUUACCAAGGCAACGAUGCAUAGCCGACCUGAGAGGGUGAUCGGCCACACUGGAACUGAGACACGGUCCAGACUCCUACGGGAGGCAGCAGUAGGGAAUCUUCCGCAAUGGGCGAAAGCCUGACGGAGCAACGCCGCGUGAGUGAUGAAGGUCUUCGGAUCGUAAAACUCUGUUAUUAGGGAAGAACAUAUGCGUAAGUAACUGUGCACAUCUUGACGGUACCUAAUCAGAAAGCCCCGGCUCCCUACGUC
Molecule: ribosomal RNA, 497 nt
Filed under: uncultured bacterium
Lineage: Bacteria
Description: partial 16S ribosomal RNA
Rfam family: Bacterial small subunit ribosomal RNA
Source: RNAcentral